RNAcentral lists this ribosomal RNA (497 nucleotides) under uncultured bacterium. RNAcentral describes it as "partial 16S ribosomal RNA". It matches the Rfam family "Bacterial small subunit ribosomal RNA", at positions 28 to 507 of the family's 1533-position model. The record is from RNAcentral.
GAUGAACGCUGGCGGCGUGCCUAAUACAUGCAAGUCGAGCGAACAGAGGAGGAGCUUGCUCCUCGGACGUUAGCGGCGGACGGGUGAGUAACACGUGGAUAACCUACCUAAAAGACUGAGAUAACUUCGGGAAACCGGAGCUAAUACCGGAUAAUAUAUUGAACCGCAUGGUUCAAUAGUGAAAGACGGUUUUGCUGUCACUAGUAGAUGGAUCCGCGCCGCAUUAGCUAGUUGGUAAGGUAACGGCUUACCAAGGCAACGAUGAGUAGCCGACCUGAGAGGGUGACCGGCCACACUGGAACUGAGACACGGUCCAGACUCCUCGGGGAGGCAGCAGUAGGGAAUCUUCCGCAAUGGGCGAAAGCCUGACGGAGCAACGCCGCGUGAGUGAUGAAGGUCUUCGGAUCGUAAAACUCUGUUAUUAGGGAAGAACAAAUGUGUAAGUAAAUAUGCACGUCUUGACGGUACCUAAUCAGAAAGCCACGGCUAACUACGUG